This 481-nucleotide ribosomal RNA is filed under the name uncultured bacterium. RNAcentral describes it as "bacterial SSU rRNA". It matches the Rfam family "Bacterial small subunit ribosomal RNA", at positions 225 to 703 of the family's 1533-position model. The record is from RNAcentral.
AGCGGCCUGCGGCCGAUUAAUUAUUCCUAGUUGGUGAGGUAAUGGCUCACCAAGGGUACGAUCGGUAGCUGGUCUGAGAGGAUGAUCAGCCACACUGGAACUGAGACACGGUCCAGACUCCUACGGGAGGCAGCAGUGGGGAAUAUUGCGCAAUGGGCGAAAGCCUGACGCAGCCACGCCGCGUGAAGGAUGACGGUCUUCGGAUUGUAAACUUCUGUCGGGGAGGGGAAGAAAGGGGGCAAACCCCUGACGGUACCUCGCAAGAAAGCACCGGCUAACUCUGUGCCAGCAGCCGCGGUAAUACAGAGGGUGCAAGCGUUGCUCGGAAUUACUGGGCGUAAAGCGUGCGCAGACGGCAAGGCAGGUCGGGUGUGAAAGCCCUGGGCUCAACCCAGGAAUUGCAUUCGAAACCAUCUCGCUCGAGUAUGGGAGAGGGGAGCGGAAUUCCUGGUGUAGAGGUGAAAUUCGUAGAUAUCAGGAG